UACGUAGGCAGCGAGCGUUGUUCGGAAUUACUGGGCGUAAAGAGUGUGUAGGCGGUGCUCCCAGUCUGUUGUGAAAUCUCCCGGCUUAACUGGGAGGGUGCAGCGGAAACUAGAGUGCUAGAGGGUGGGAGAGGUAAGCGGAAUUCCUGGUGUAGCGGUGAAAUGCGUAGAUAUCAGGAGGAACACCUGUGGUGUAGACAGCUUACUGGACCACUUCUGACGCUGAGACACGAAAGCGUGGGGAGCGAACAGG
RNAcentral lists this ribosomal RNA (253 nucleotides) under uncultured bacterium. RNAcentral's name for it is "partial 16S ribosomal RNA". It matches the Rfam family "Bacterial small subunit ribosomal RNA", at positions 524 to 776 of the family's 1533-position model. The record is from RNAcentral.